Molecule: long non-coding RNA, 451 nt
Organism: Bos taurus (domestic cattle)
Lineage: Eukaryota; Metazoa; Chordata; Mammalia; Artiodactyla; Bovidae
Source: Ensembl
AAGGCUAAUCCAUAGCUAACACUCGGAGACCCGGGUUCGAUCCCUGGGUUGGGAAGAUCCCCAGGAGGAGGAAAUGGCAACCCACUUCAGCAUUCUUGCUUGGAGAAUUCCGUGGACAGAGGAGACUGGUGGGCACAGGUCUUGGGGUCGCAAAGAGUUGAACCCGACUGAGCGACUAACACAGACAUAUAUCCUCCCAGGGGCUACGUUUGCGCUAUGUGCCGGGCGCAGCACCCAGAGCACCCACCGGCCCUUCAGGUUCACCCAACAUACAGAAGGGGAAACUGAGGCAAAGGGCUGGUCCCAGAGCUGAGAUUCCAACUCAAGACCACCAAGCCCUGAAUUCUUUAUUCUUUUCUGUUAAUGUCACUCCUCCCUGGCUCUGUGACACCCAGUCACCCCAAAUGCCCUUUCAGAUUCUCCCUCCAGACCUUUGAACUUGGCUGAUGGG